AAGUUAAAGUUCGUCAUCAACCUUUUAGGCAGCAGUCAAGGGACUUCAACGUGGAUUUACGAUGUUUUCUUGCAAUCUGUAAGUUGGAUUGGAUUGAACUUCUUGAACAUUUAGAAGACUUGUAAAGACACUAGUGGUAGAAGUUUCACAACAAUCGGAUGGUCAGAUUGAGAAUUACAGCUUGCCGAGGCUCAUUAUUUAAAGUUAGGAUUUAAAAAUAAAUAAAUAAAUAAAAAUAAAUAAAUAAAUAAAAUAGAAAUAAAAAUAACAAAUAAAAAAAGAAUUUGUGCUUAUAAUAUCUAAAAGCUAUUAAAAAUAGUGUUCUAAGUACUUUGUAUUGGGAUUAAGCUUUUAUAUUGAAAUCUGAAAUAGUUUGUGUUUAGAUAGUUGAAAUCCACUAGACUACUUGGAUACUUGCAAAACAUCAUUUUAUCUUCCACAGCCAGAUGUCCAAUGCGUUUUCAAGCUAGAUAGCAUGUAAUACAAUAUAAGUGGUGAAUUCAACGUAAAAUGCUUGAGGUGGGAGAUAUUGAAAUUCUUUUAUUUUCAUUUUUAUUUUAUGGAGAACGAGAAUAAAUUUUUUGAAGGAGCUUAAAGUGGAGCUUCUUCUAAAGGACAAGGUAUAUAUAUGGAUCCAUCCGUUGCUAGUAUGUUUCAAGCCUUAUCAUUAUCUAUGCAGCAACAGCAAAGCAAUGAUCAUAAAGAAGCUUUAGCAACGAAAGCAUUGCAAGCAAUGGUCAAUAAAAUUGAUUAAUUUGAUGGAAGGAAUAUUUCAAGGUAUUUAAGAUGUUAUGUUUGGAAAAUAGAAUUAAAUCGGGUUUUUGAGAAGAAGAUGGUUGAAUUAUUUGGACUUGCCAUGAUACCGGAAAUAAGAGAGCAUAUUACAUCAAUUAUGGAGCAUUAUGGAAAUUCAUGGGAAAUUUUUUCACAUGCAUUAAAAGACGAAUAUUUCUUGGAGGACAUUGAUUGUAUUACUAAAAAACUAUUUUUAGAAUGGAUUGAAUGGCCUAAUAAGAAUUUGCAAGCAACAAAGCUACUAAGGGAAUUUGAGAGGUAAUAUUCUCAAUUAUCAAAGGUAGAAAAAUUGACAUUAGAGCCGAACAAGGUUGAAUUAUUUCUUCAAGCUGCUGAUGGAGAGUUACAAGGGAAAUUGGAGUUGCUUCUUGAAGACAAAGAAGAAGAUGAAGGAUUAACAACAAAGUGGAAAAAUGUUGAAAAUGCGGUGGAUUUGCUUGCAAAAAGAGAAAAGAGGAAGGAUAGGAAUAAUAUUCCAAAAGUAAUAUAAGCACCUAAAAUUCCAGUACAUACAAUACGACCAACAAUGCCUAGUGUUCAACCUUCAACAUCUUUAUCAAACAAAGGAGAGAUGGUGAUUAAAGAAAUUAUACAUGGAAUGCGAGAUCUUCAAAUCAAAUUGGCAAGACUUGAAGAAAAAACUCCUACAAACAAUGUGAAGAAUGUUUCAAAACAAGGAUAUGUACAAAGAUGUAUCUGGUGUGAUGAAGUUUCACAUACUAAUAAGGAUUGCAAUGAAUUUAAUAAUAUAGUAUAGCAAGGAGUUAUUUACUGGAAAGAUAGAAAGAUUGCAUUAAAUGACACAAAAGAUCUUCUUUAAUCAAUUUUGGCAAAGGAGGUAUGAGAGCAUUGAUUCAAGAUUAUUUAAUAGAAUAUGGAAUAGCAACACGAGAGAAUGUAAGUUAUGGCAGUAGAGUAGAUGAUGACUUUGGUGGAAGUAUAGAAAUUAGUGAAUUUUGGGCUUCUGCCAUUUUCAUAAUGCAAAAAAAAAAAAUACAUCGGGAAGCAUUAUUGUAGAUUGCAACUACAAUACGAGGUGCAACAGAUUGGAAAGAUCCUAUUGAGUCUCUUUCAGUUCAUGCAUAUAUUGCUAAGAGCCACCAUGAAGCUUUGAUAAAAGAAAAGAGACGAGGAAAUUUUGAUGAUACAAGGGAAGAAAAUUCUUUUAAGAAGAAAAUUCGAGGAGACAAGGCUUGUGAGGCAGCUUCAUAAGAAUUACCUAUAAAGUAUACUUCAACAUCAUUGAAAGAAAAAACAAAGGAGACAAAAGAAAAGAAUAAAUCAAUUGUUUAUAAGCUACUUUCUAAUAUUGAAGUGGCAACAAAUUUAAAAGGGGUGUUGGAAGAACGUAUAUUAAAUGCUAAGGUGGAAUUUGCAUUGAAAGAAAUUUUGGAAAUUGUAAAGGAGUUUCAUGAUGUUAUCAUUGACAAUAUUAAGUGAAAGAGGUAAUUAAUGGGUGAAGUUGGAAUGAGUCAUGCUAUUGAUGCAGGAUUAUAUAAAAUUGAAGAAGAUAUUGAUAAUGGUUACAAAAAAUCAACAAAUGAAAAGAAUGGAUAUAAUCAACGAGUACAUUUCGAAGAUUAUAGUGAUAAGGAAAUAAAAGCUUCAAGCCAUUAUACUCAGAAAUAUUGAGCAAGGGCAACUAUUGAGGUAUUGGUGAAAGUAGAAAAUAUAGAAGAAUGAACUGUUGCUUUAGUUGACCAUGGUUCUGAAAUAAAUCUUAUGUCUAAAAUCUUUAUAAGAAGUAAAAAUGGCCAAUUGAUAUGGAACAUGGAUGGGUAAUACAAGCAGCUUAUAACACACGAGGUGAAUUAUAUGGAGUUUAUCCACAUGUCAAAAUUUAGAUUGGAGAUAUUGCGACAAAAUAACAUUUCUUUGUUCAAGAUACAACAUCUUAUCCAUUGAUUUUAAGACAACCUUAUAUUACGGCAACAUGAAUGGAAACAAAAGUACUUAACGAUGGUUUUACUUAUGCAAGGGUACAUAAUAAAGAUAGAAGAAAAGUUGUAUAAUUUCUAACAGUACCUCCUAAUCAUAAACGGAAUCGAGAUAGGUUGAGGGAGAAACCAUUGCCAAGGGUUGUUGAAGGAUUUAAGGAUUUUGAAGAAGUACCACUAUAAAGCGGGAUUAUGGAGGUACAAAAGAGGAGGUACUCUCGUGAGAUGAAGGUGCCUUUGAUGCAAGUUUUAUUGAUAUUUUUAAGGAUGGAAAUAUUAUGUAUAAAAAAAUUGAUGAUUUUAAAAGAAAAGAAAAAAAAGAAUAUAUAGUAUUGAAAGGGAAUUACGUAAGUUAGGGACAUUAGAAGAUGAUGAGAAGAUUUUAGGAGUUUAUGAAGAAAAUAAAUUAGAGGAUUCUUUAGAAUUAAUUACAUCUAUUGGAUUAGGGGAUAAUGAUAAGAUUGUAGAAAUUCAUUCGAGGGAGGUUUAUUCUAUACUUGAAUCUUUUUAAGAAUCAGAAGUUAUUGUAGAGACAAAAUAUAAAAUAGUAGAUAAAAAGGUAAAACUUGUUGCCAGACCUUUACCAGAAGAUUUUAAAGAAUAAAUGGAAGAAGCAUCAAAAGAAGAGAAUUUAAGAGAUCCAAAGAAGAUUGGACAUCAGUUUACAAAGGAGACUUUUGAAGAAUUAAAGAUUGGAUGUGAUGGUUCUUUAUUUCCAACAAAAAUUGAAUAUAUUAAAAAAAUGCUUGCAAAAUGAGGUAAAUCAUUUACCUUUGGGUCUCAUGAAAUAGGAUGUGUAGAUCCUAAUGUUGUUGCUCCUAUGGUUAUCUUUACAAUACUUCAUGUGCCUUGGAACUUAAGGCCAAUUCCCAUGCCAAGGGCAUAUUUAUCUAAAUUGGUGGAAUUAUUGAAAGAAGAGAUGGGAAUGAAAAUUUUGGAGCCUUCUUUUGCUCCAUAUUCUAGUCAUUGGUUUAUGGUGCCUAAAAAAAAUAGAUCGUUAUGUUUUAUUCAAGAUAUGAAGGCAAUGAAUGUAGUAACUAUAAGAAAUACAGGUAUAGGACCUUUAGUAGACGAGUUUAGAGAAGCAUUUGUGGGAAGGGAAAUUUAUUCAAUAGAAGAUUUAUAUUCGGAUUAUGAUCAAUUUCAACUUAUGCAUGGGAGUAGAAAUCUAACAAAAAUGAGAACGCCACUUGGAUUGCUUAAAAUGUAUACUCUCCCACAAGGUGUUAUUAACUGAAUUGCACAUAUGAUGAAUGGGAUGAACAAGGUACGAAGAGACUUCAUUCCUAAAAAAACCAUGCCUUUUUUAAAUGAUGUUCUUAUCAAAGGAUGUAAAGAAGGAAAAAAAGAUGAAACUUUAGAUGAGAGGGGGUGUUGCAAAUAUGUUGUUGAUCAUAUACAAGUUUGUGAAAAGAUUUUAACUCAACUUGAAGAGGUUCAUCUUACACUUUCAAGAGCAAAAUCUACAUUUAGAAUACAAGUUUUUAUUAUUGGAUAUUUGUGUGGGUUUUAUGUGAGAAAGUUAGAUCCAUGCAAAGUUGAUACAAUUAGAAGGAUGAAAGAUUCAUGUGAGUCUUUAACAGAAGUACGCAGGUUUUUAGGAGCUUAUGUAUUUUAUCAUAUAUAGAUUCUUCAUUAUGCUCAUAUAGCAGAUCCAUUAUAUGAAUUAUUACUUAAAGAUUAUUAAUUUAAAUGGAAAAAAAAGCAUACUGAAGUAAUACAGAAGCUAAAGGUGUUAUUGGUGAUACCUCCAAUUUUAAGAAAAAUUGAUUAUGACUAUAAUAGACAAGUAAUUCUUAUUGUGGAUACUAGUCCUAUUGCUAUUGAAUGGGUUGUGGAUCAAGAUGAUUCAAGUGGAAAUAGAUUUGCAGUUCGAUUUGGAACUAAAGUUUUAAGUACUUGUCAACAUACAUAUUCGCAAGUCAAAAGAGAACUUUGGGGAGUUAUUUUGGCUAUGAAAGCUGAAAAGGAUUAUUUGAUUGGUACAGCAGUAGUAAUUGAAACGGAUUGCUUGCCAUUACUUAGAAUGAUUACUAAUUAUUCAAUGUCGAAUAUUGCAAUGUUAAGAUGGAUUGCUUAUAUUAAGUCAUUAAAUCCGAAAUUUAAGCAUAUUGUUGGAAAAGAUAAUUUAGUAGCAGACAUGCUAUCUAGAACAAGAUAUGAAAGAGAAGAUAAAAUGGUUGAAGACAUUGAUGAUGUUGGAUCAAAAUUCUAUUGAGUAUCAAAUCUUAACAAAGAAGAUAAGCUAUUUCUUGAAGAAUUUUAUGAAGGAAAAUUAUUGGAUAUUGGUCAUUACUUGAAUACCUUGACUAAACAAGAAAAUUGGUCUACAGAAAAAAUUAAAUAAAUAAGAAAAAAGGCAUAUGGAUUUUUUCUUCAAGAAGGAUUUUUUUGGAAGAGACCAAAAAAAAGAAUUGGAAUGCCACAAAGAGUGAUAGGCAAUAAAGAAGAAAAAUAAAAAUUAUUAAAGAGGUUUCAUGAUAGUUUAUGGGCAGGACAUAGAGGAAUUUGGACUACUUUUGCUAAGCUUAAGGAAUAAUAUUGGUGGAAAAAUAUGUAUCAAGAUGUGCUCUUAUUUGUAGAGUCAUCUAAAAUUUGUCAAACGUAUUCUAAUAUACGACAUUGAGAUGGUCUUCAUCCUACAUAUCUUUUAGCUAUUUAUUUUAAAUAGGUUGUUGAUUUGGUUACUAUGCCAAUCGGGUUAUGGCAAAUGAGAUAUUUGGUCUUCGCUCAUGAAGAUUUAUCAAAUCAAGUAGAAGAAAGAGCAUUGAGAACAAAAUCUAUGGAAAGAAUUUGUAGAUUUUUGCUUGAAGAUGUUAUUUGCCACUACAAAUGUAUAGAAAAAAUUACUGUAGAUUGUGGAGAAUUAAAUGCAUAAGAAGCUUAUAAAUUCUUUGAAAGAUGUGGAAUUAAACUAUCAUUGUCUAUUACUUAUAAUCUUGAAGGAAAAGCAAAAAGUAAGCAUGGUCACCCACCGAUUGUGAAAGAAUUAGUUAAAGCAUGUAAUGGGAAGGUUAGAGAAUGGCCACGACUUUUGUCAUUUGCAUUAUGGGUUGAUCGAACAACUCAUAGCUCAGUAACAGGAUAUAUGCCUAUUGAGCUUAUGACAGGUCAAAAACUAAUUAUGCCAAUUGAAAAAAAAAGUACCUACGUGGAGUGUGCUAUCAUGGAAAGAUGGAUUGACAAGAGAAGAACUUGUAGCUAUUAGAAUUCAAUAAUUAGAACAAAGAUCGGAAGAUGUGCAAAUAACAUUAGAAAGGUUAAAAAGAUCAAGGUUACAAAAGAAGCACGAUUUGAUAAGCAGCAUUGAUUGAGACUUAAAGCAUUUGAAGAAGGUGAUUGGAUUUUGGUCUAUGAUAGUAGCUUGGACAAUCAACAUAGUACUUUAAGGAAUUUUUUUAAGCGAUGGUUUGGACCGUAUGUGGUAACAACUGUUCAUGAUAAUGUAACUUACUCAUUGCGGGAGUUAGAUGGAAUGGGGUUAAAAAUACCAAUUACAAGGAAGCGAGUAAAAAUAUUUAAAUAAAGAUAUACAGAAAUAAAUAUAGAAGACCUUAGUGAAGACAUAGAUAUUCUUCAACAGUAAGAUAAAAUUGACUUGGAUAGCAAAAGUGAUGAAGAGGAUUUGAACAAAGACUUGGAGAACAUAUUAUAAAUCAAACAACAACUAGAUUAUUUGGUACAUACCAGAGGAUGCAUAGGUUGAGAGGGGGUGGAUAUCAUAUUGCAAUACAACUAUAUGGUGAAAAUAUAAAUGGAAAAGAUUUAUUAAUAUUUAGUUAUCUUGGAUGUUAAAAACAAUGGCCAAUUCCAGUGCCAAUAUUCAGGGGCCAGUUAAUGUCAUCCCAUUGCAAGUUGUGCCAUCGAAUGUAAUAACAGCAUAUAUUCUAUCGGCAUCAUCGAAUCAAGUAUCUUUCAUACCAAUGAGACGACCAAGAUCAUUUUCUAAUCCUAUAUGGAACAAACUUAGUAGGUAUAUAUCAGUGGAGACACCCAAUAUGCAUGAUGGGCGUGUAAGAAGACCGCAUCGUUGUUUUCGUUGUAGACAAAUUGAUUAUUAUGCCAGUAAAUGUUCAAAUCUCAAAGCCAAUGACAAUUACGUGCCAAUGUGCAGAAAUAGCAAGCAGUUGAGGCAUACUUAUCAGCAAUGUAGUACUCCAUUCAAUUUCAAUAAUCGGAAUCACCAGAUCCAAAGCUAGGGAAAAAUUGAGGAAAUAAAUCGAGGUCCUCGAGAUUCUCCGGUAAAUGAGAUGGAAUGAGUCUAAGCCGUUCUUACUAAGAAUCCACAAAAAAAAAAAAAAAAAACUAAUUCAAUAUUUGGGUGAAUCUGAUGUGAAGGGCUAAUUUGACCCAAUUAUGGGGACAUCCAAUCUAAGUCCUAGUAUGGGCCUCUUACCCAGUAUGAGACCUGACUUGGUUGAGCAACCCAAUGAGAUCCCAAAUACGGAGGCUUCGGUUCCAUUUCAAGCUGUUCCAUUUUCUAUGCUAUUUUGAAAAAAUAUCCUUUCUAUGAAAAGAUCCUCUUAGAGGUUGGAAUUCCAUGGAGACAAGUCUGCAUUUCUAAUUUGGAGUCCGGGGCGGAAGAAUAGAAGACCUCACGGAGUUAAAGGAAAGGAGAGCAAAAAUAAAGGAGCAUUCAGAGAUCGAGAUUUUGAGGUUGAAGAGCUAGCUUCAAGCUCCUUCAAAAGGUAUAGAAUUGGAUUUCAUAGGGUUGGGAGGACUUUGCAAUCAUUGCUCAAAGUCAGUAUUUGUAUUGAUGAAUUGAGUUUUUGCAAUAAAGUAAAGUUUAAUACUCUUGACUGUUUUAUGAAAUUGGAGAGACAUAUGUAGUUGAAAUUUUAGAAGUGUCUAGAUAGUUGAGUAUACUAAGUGCAUGCAAAAAUUUGUGUUAAUCUUACAAUACGGAUAGAAGAUAUUUGAUCAUUAGUAUAAAAAGGUAUCAGAAGUUGGCAUAUUGGAGUUGUUUAGAGUUUUUGUAAUAUCUGAGAUCUACUGACUGAAAUAAGGUGAAUUUUGACACGAUAAGUCGAGGACUUUAAGGUGGAGCUGCACACAAAGUUUGAAUGAGAAUUAAUGGUCAGAGAAGGAGAAAUUGUAAGUUAAAGUUCGUCAUCAACCUUUUAGGCAGCAGUCAAGGGACUUCAACGUGGAUUUACGAUGUUUUCUUGCAAUCUGUAAGUUGGAUUGGAUUGAACUUCUUGAACAUUUAGAAGACUUGUAAAGACACUAGUGGUAGAAGUUUCACAACAAUCGGAUGGUCAGAUUGAGAAUUACAGCUUGCCGAGGCUCAUUAUUUAAAGUUAGGA
RNAcentral lists this long non-coding RNA (8038 nucleotides) under Physcomitrium patens. RNAcentral's name for it is "long non-coding RNA (PPAT_LNC006582)". The record is from RNAcentral. Lineage: Eukaryota; Viridiplantae; Streptophyta; Bryopsida; Funariales; Funariaceae.